This 76-nucleotide transfer RNA is filed under the name Bdellovibrio sp. CG11_big_fil_rev_8_21_14_0_20_39_38. RNAcentral's name for it is "tRNA-Gly". It matches the Rfam family "tRNA". Rfam says of the family: Transfer RNA (tRNA) molecules are approximately 80 nucleotides in length. Their secondary structure includes four short double-helical elements and three loops (D, anti-codon, and T loops). Lineage: Bacteria; Pseudomonadati; Bdellovibrionota; Bdellovibrionia; Bdellovibrionales; Pseudobdellovibrionaceae. The record is from RNAcentral. RNAcentral also lists the same sequence under 3 other names.
GCGGGCGUAACUCAGUUGGUAGAGUGCCAGCCUUCCAAGCUGGAUGUCGCAAGUUCGAACCUUGUCGCCCGCUCCA